Molecule: ribosomal RNA, 467 nt
Filed under: uncultured bacterium
Lineage: Bacteria
Description: bacterial SSU rRNA
Rfam family: Bacterial small subunit ribosomal RNA
Source: RNAcentral
AGUUUGAUCCUGGCUCAGAACGAACGCUGGCGGCAUGCGUAACACAUGCAAGUCGAAUGAAGGAUUCGGCCUUAGUGGCGCACGGGUGCGUAACGCGUGGGAAUCUGCCCUUGGGUUCGGAAUAACAGCGGGAAACUGAUGCUAAUACCGGACGACGACGAAAGUCCAAAGAUUUAUCGCGUGAGGAUGAGCCCGCGUUGGAUUAGGUAGUUGGUAGGGUAAAGGCCUACCAAGCGGACGAUCCAUACAUGGUAUGAGAGGAUGAUCCGCCACUCUGGGAGUGAGACACGGCCCAGACUCUUACGGGAGGCAGCAGUGCGGAAUGCUGGACAAUGGGCGAAAGCAUGAUCCCGCAAUGCCGCGUGAGUGAUGAAGGCGUUAGGGUAGUAAAGCUGUUUUACCCGGGAUGAUAAUGACAGUACCGGGAGAAUAAGCCCCGGCUAACUCCGUGCCAGCAGCCGCGGUAA